UACGGAGGUGGCGAGCGUUGCUCGGAUUCACUGGGUGUAAAGGGCAAGUAGGCGGCUUCGCAAGUCGGGUGUGAAAUGCCACGGCUCAACCGUGGAACUGCGCCCGAUACUGUGAGGCUUGAGGACAGGAGAGGCCAACGGAAUUCUCGGUGUAAGGGUGAAAUCUGUAGAUAUCGAGAGGAACACCAGUGGCGAAGGCGGUUGGCUGGCCUGUCCCUGACGCUGAGAGGCGAAAGCUAGGGGAGCAAACAGG
Molecule: ribosomal RNA, 253 nt
Filed under: uncultured bacterium
Lineage: Bacteria
Description: partial 16S ribosomal RNA
Rfam family: Bacterial small subunit ribosomal RNA
Source: RNAcentral